Molecule: long non-coding RNA, 1220 nt
Organism: Saimiri boliviensis boliviensis (Bolivian squirrel monkey)
Lineage: Eukaryota; Metazoa; Chordata; Mammalia; Primates; Cebidae
Source: RefSeq, a predicted model, not a curated record
GCCGCGAGGGAGCCAAUGGGAUGGUGAGCUGGCCGGACUGGGCGGAGGCGACGGGGGACACCGGUGAUGACGUGAGCCACAAUGCGCGACGGCUGCGGAAGCUGAGCCGGACCCGGGAGUUAGCUUGAGCUGCGAAGCGUUCGGUUAGCAUGCCACCGUGACAAGUGAGCAGCCUGGACCGUCCUGGUGAUGUCACAUGACUGGGGGUCCCAAACCACCGAGGGGGCAUCUCGACGGCCAGAGUCACACAGCUGGACUCAAACACACAGGAGGACGUCUGGCACCCCGCUUCCUGGGACCCCUUUCUCUGGCCAGUUGGCGAAUCUUGGGGACAGGAGGGGCAGCAGCAGCAGCCGCCACCUGCCCCGAAGGUCAUCGUGAUGAGAGGCAAAGGAAGCCCCGGCACUUUUGACCCCAGAUGCCUGCCCCACUCCUGAGUGACUUGUGACCAGAUGCUGAGUUGUGAAGGCAGAGAUGGGACUUCAGCCAGCCCCCCCAGCAGUGGGAGAUGUCCCCACGGGCCCUGAGAGUCCCUCACACCAGUGAGCACCUCACCAGGCUCCUCAGGGACCCUCCCAGGAACUGUCCUUCUGACCCUUCCUCCCGCCCCUCCUCCCUCCGUUGCGCACACUCCAGCUCCUGCAGUCACGCCCUUGUUCCGAACACUUGGGGGCUCUACGUCCCUGCUGAAGCCCUGACCCAGGCACAGAGGUCGUCAUGCUGAGGGAGGGGCCACAGCCCCACUCCAGACACAGGCACGCCUUUCACAAGGGCCUGCACUGACACGAGCCCCAAAACCGGGAGAGUAGACAAAUCCACCAUGAGAACUCGCCCUCCGGGGCCAGGCAGCACACAACCAGCCCUACAAAGGGAAGAAGGGCCCCGACACCCACACAGGUCUGCACCUUCCAGCAAGUGCCGUUGACGGCACCCCAACCCAACGUGCAGCUUCCCAAAGGGCGCGGGGCUUAGGUGGAUCUCCCGAGGCCAUCCUGGAAAGCAUUCGGCCAGGUCCGAGCUCCUAACGGAACUGUCAGUUACGCCCUGAGGGACUCCGUUCUCCCUGGUCCCCGGUGUGGUACGAGAGCACAGCCUUUCACACCAGACAAACCUGGGUGAAGUCCCGUUUUACCACCUUCGGCUGCAGCAGGAUCCCUGGGGAGGGACUUCACCUGUCUCAGCCUCAGUUUCUUCAUCUUUAAAACGGGCUCGACCCAGCA